GGGACUAUAGUUAAAAAUAACAUUUGAGUUGCAUUCAAAAAGUACUAUCAUUCAAAUAGUUAGCCUCA
RNAcentral lists this transfer RNA (68 nucleotides) under Nitiditermes fulvus. Its description in RNAcentral is "Cubitermes fulvus tRNA-Ala". Lineage: Eukaryota; Metazoa; Arthropoda; Insecta; Blattodea; Termitidae. RNAcentral also lists the same sequence under 1 other name. The record is from RNAcentral.